This 612-nucleotide ribosomal RNA is filed under the name uncultured Alphaproteobacteria bacterium. RNAcentral describes it as "bacterial SSU rRNA". It matches the Rfam family "Bacterial small subunit ribosomal RNA", at positions 84 to 731 of the family's 1533-position model. Lineage: Bacteria; Pseudomonadati; Pseudomonadota; Alphaproteobacteria. The record is from RNAcentral.
CUUCGGGGUUAGUGGCGCACGGGUGCGUAACGCGUGGGAAUCUGCCCUUUGCUUCGGAAUAACAGUUAGAAAUGACUGCUAAUACCGGAUGAUGUCUUCGGACCAAAGAUUUAUCGGCAAGGGAUGAGCCCGCGUGGGAUUAGGUAGUUGGUGGGGUAAAGGCCUACCAAGCCGACGAUCCUUAGCUGGUCUGAGAGGAUGAUCAGCCACACUGGGACUGAGACACGGCCCAGACUCCUACGGGAGGCAGCAGUGGGGAAUAUUGGACAAUGGGCGCAAGCCUGAUCCAGCAAUGCCGCGUGAGUGAUGAAGGCCUUCGGGUCGUAAAGCUCUUUUACCAGGGAUGAUAAUGACAGUACCUGGAGAAUAAGCUCCGGCUAACUCCGUGCCAGCAGCCGCGGUAAUACGGAGGGAGCUAGCGUUGUUCGGAAUUACUGGGCGUAAAGCGCACGUAGGCGGCGACACAAGUCAGAGGUGAAAGCCCGGGGCUCAACCCCGGAACUGCCUUUGAAACUAGGUUGCUAGAAUCUUGGAGAGGUCAGUGGAAUUCCGAGUGUAGAGGUGAAAUUCGUAGAUAUUCGGAAGAACACCAGUGGCGAAGGCGACUGACUG